Molecule: ribosomal RNA, 254 nt
Filed under: uncultured bacterium
Lineage: Bacteria
Description: partial 16S ribosomal RNA
Rfam family: Bacterial small subunit ribosomal RNA
Source: RNAcentral
GACAGAGGGGGCGAGCGUUGUCCGGAGUCACUAGGCGUAAAGCGCGCGCAGGCGGUGACCUAAGAGGCGUGUGAAAGCCCCCUGGCUCAACUGGGGGAGGCCACGGCAGACUGGGUCGCUCGAGCUGCGGAGAGGCCCCUCGAAUUGCCGGUGUAGCGGUGAAAUGCGUAGAGAUCGGCAGGAAGACCAAGGGGGAAGCCAGGGGGCUGGCCGCAUGCUGACGCUGAGGCGCGACAGCGUGGGGAGCAAACCGG